UAGGGAAUCUUCCGCAAUGGACGAAAGUCUGACGGAGCAACGCCGCGUGAGUGAUGAAGGUUUUCGGAUCGUAAAGCUCUGUUGCCAGGGAAGAACGAGUGGGAGAGUAACUGCUCUUGCUAUGACGGUACCUGAGAAGAAAGCCCCGGCUAACUACGUGCCAGCAGCCGCGGUAAUACGUAGGGGGCAAGCGUUGUCCGGAAUUAUUGGGCGUAAAGCGCGCGCAGGCGGCUUGGAAAGUCGGGUGUUUAAGCUCGGGGCUCAACCCCGAUACGCACCCGAAACUGCCAGGCUUGAGUGCAGAAGAGGAAAGUGGAAUUCCACGUGUAGCGGUGAAAUGCGUAGAGAUGUGGAGGAACACCAGUGGCGAAGGCGACUUUCUGGGCUGUAACUGACGCUGAGGCGCGAAAGCGUGGGGAGCAAACA
Molecule: ribosomal RNA, 426 nt
Filed under: uncultured Paenibacillus sp.
Lineage: Bacteria; Bacillati; Bacillota; Bacilli; Caryophanales; Paenibacillaceae
Description: bacterial SSU rRNA
Rfam family: Bacterial small subunit ribosomal RNA
Source: RNAcentral